Molecule: transfer RNA, 70 nt
Filed under: Oryctolagus cuniculus (rabbit)
Lineage: Eukaryota; Metazoa; Chordata; Mammalia; Lagomorpha; Leporidae
Description: tRNA-His
Rfam family: tRNA
About the family: Transfer RNA (tRNA) molecules are approximately 80 nucleotides in length. Their secondary structure includes four short double-helical elements and three loops (D, anti-codon, and T loops).
Source: RNAcentral
GUAAAUAUAGUUUAACAAAAACAUUAGAUUGUGAGUCUAAUAAUAGGAGACUGCACCUCCUUAUCUACCG